Molecule: ribosomal RNA, 256 nt
Filed under: uncultured prokaryote
Description: partial 16S ribosomal RNA
Rfam family: Bacterial small subunit ribosomal RNA
Source: RNAcentral
AAUACGGAGGGGGCAAGCGUUGUUCGGAAUUACUGGGCGUAAAGGGCGCGUAGGCGGCCUUCUAAGUCAGACGUGAAAUCCCUCGGCUCAACCGGGGAACUGCGUCUGAGACUGGAAGGCUUGAAUCCGGGAGAGGGAUGUGGAAUUCCAGGUGUAGCGGUGAAAUGCGUAGAUAUCUGGAGGAACACCGGUGGCGAAGGCGGCAUCCUGGACCGGUAUUGACGCUGAGGCGCGAAAGCCAGGGGAGCAAACGGGA